GCGUCUUAAGCAUGCAAGUCGAGCGGGCUUAUUCGGGCAACUGGAUAAGUUAGCGGCGAACUGGUGAGUAACACGUAGGUAAUCUGCCGUGAAGUGGGGGAUAACCCAUGGAAACAUGGACUAAUACCGCAUAUACUCUUGCUACAUAAGUAGAGUAGAGGAAAGUUUUUUCGCUUCACGAUGAGCCUGCGGCCUAUUAGCCUGUUGGUAGGGUAAUGGCCUACCAAAGCUACGAUAGGUAGCCGACCUGAGAGGGUGACCGGCCACAUUGGGACUGAGAUACGGCCCAGACUCCUACGGGAGGCAGCAGCUGAGAAUCUUCCACAAUGGACGAAAGUCUGAUGGAGCGACAUCGCGUGAGGGAUGAAGGCCUUCGGGUUGUAAACCUCGGAAAUUAUCGAAGAAUGAGUGACAGUAGAUAAUGUAAGCCUCGGCUAACUACGUGCCAGCAGCCGCGGUAAUACGUAGGAGGCAAACGUUGCUCGGAUUUACUGGGCGUAAAGGGUGAGUAGGCGGAUUUAUAAGUCUAAGGUGAAAGACCGAAGCUCAACUUCGGGAACGCCUCGGAUACUGUAAGUCUUGGAUAUUGUAGGGGAUGAUGGAAUUCUCGGUGUAGCGGUGGAAUGCGCAGAUAUCGAGAGGAACACCUAUAGCGAAGGCAGUCAUCUGGGCAUUUAUCGACGCUGAAUCACGAAAGCUAGGGGAGCAAACAGGCUUAGAUACCCUGGUAGUCCUAGCCGUAAACGUUGUACACUAGGUGCUUCUAUUUAAAUAGGAGUGCCGUAGCUAACGUCUUAAGUGUACCGCCUGAGGAGUAUGCCCGCAAGGGUGAAACUCAAAGAAAUUGACGGGUCCCCGCACAAGUGGUGGAGCAUGUGGUUUAAUUCGAUGAUACGCGAAAAACCUUACCUGGGUUUGAAUUGUUAGAUGAAUGAUUUAGAGAUAAGUCAGACCGCAAGGGACGUUUAACAUAGGUGCUGCAUGGCUGUCGUCAGCUCGUGUCGUGAGAUGUUGGGUUAAGUCCCGCAACGAGCGCAACCCUCACCCUCUGUUGCUACCGAGUAAUGUCGAGCACUCUUAGGGGACUGCCUACGUUCAAGUAGGAGGAAGGUGGGGAUGAUGUCAAGUCCUCAUGGCCCUUAUGUCCAGGGCUACACACGUGCUACAAUGGCAAGUACAAAGAGAAGCAAGACCGCGAGGUGGAGCAAAACUCAAAAAAGUUGCCUCAGUUCGGAUUGGAGUCUGAAACUCGACUCCAUGAAGUUGGAAUCACUAGUAAUCGUAGAUCAGAACGCUACGGUGAAUACGUUCCCGGGGAUUGUACACACCGCCCGUCACGCCAUCGGAGUUGGUUUUACCUGAAGCCGUUAGCCUAACCGCAAGGAGGGCGGCGUCGAAGG
RNAcentral lists this ribosomal RNA (1400 nucleotides) under Brachyspira pilosicoli. RNAcentral describes it as "bacterial SSU rRNA". It matches the Rfam family "Bacterial small subunit ribosomal RNA". The record is from RNAcentral. Lineage: Bacteria; Pseudomonadati; Spirochaetota; Spirochaetia; Brachyspirales; Brachyspiraceae.